Molecule: ribosomal RNA, 441 nt
Filed under: uncultured bacterium
Lineage: Bacteria
Description: partial 16S ribosomal RNA
Rfam family: Bacterial small subunit ribosomal RNA
Source: RNAcentral
CUACGGGGCGCAGCAGUGAGGAAUAUUGCACAAUGGGGGAAACCCAGAUGCAGCAACGCCGCGUGAGUGACGAAGGCCUUCGGGUUGUAAAACUCUUUUCUGAGGGAUGAGGAAGGACAGUACCUUAGGAACAAGUCUCGGCUAACUACGUGCCAGCAGCCGCGGUAAAACGUAGGAGGCGAGCGUUAUCCGGAUUUAUUGGGCGUAAAGGGCAAGUAGGCGGUAGCCAAAGUUGGGCGUGACAUAUCCCGGCUUAACUGGGAGGGGUCGUCCAAAACUAGGCGUACUAGAGGGCAGGAGAGGAAAGCGGAACUCCUAAUGUAGCGGUGGAAUGCUCAGAUAUUAGGAAGAACACCAGUGGCGAAGGCGGCUUUCUGGCCUGCACCUGACGCUGAGAGGCGAAAGCUAGGGUAGCGAACGGGAUUAGAUACCCUAGUAGUC